This 440-nucleotide ribosomal RNA is filed under the name uncultured bacterium. RNAcentral describes it as "partial 16S ribosomal RNA". It matches the Rfam family "Bacterial small subunit ribosomal RNA", at positions 338 to 795 of the family's 1533-position model. The record is from RNAcentral.
CCUACGGGAGGCAGCAGUAGGGAAUAUUGCUCAAUGGGGGAAACCCUGAAGCAGCAACGCCGCGUGGAGGAUGAAGGUUUUCGGAGUGUAAACUCCUUUUGGUAGAGAAGAAAAUGACGGUAUCUAACGAAUAAGCACCGGCUAACUCCGUGCCAGCAGCCGCGGUAAUACGGAGGGUGCAAGCGUUACUCGGAAUCACUGGGCGUAAAGAGCGCGUAGGCGGGAUAGCAAGUCAGAUGUGAAAUCCUAUGGCUUAACCAUAGAACUGCAUUUGAAAUUGUUAUUCUAGAGUAUGGGAGAGGUAGGUGGAAUUCUUGGUGUAGGGGUGAAAUCCGUAGAGAUCAAGAGGAAUACUCAUUGCGAAGGCGACCUGCUAGACCAUAACUGACGCUGAUGCGCGAAAGCGUGGGGAGCAAACAGGAUUAGAUACCCCUGUAGUC